RNAcentral lists this ribosomal RNA (433 nucleotides) under uncultured Dysgonomonas sp. RNAcentral describes it as "bacterial SSU rRNA". It matches the Rfam family "Bacterial small subunit ribosomal RNA", at positions 461 to 896 of the family's 1533-position model. The record is from RNAcentral. Lineage: Bacteria; Pseudomonadati; Bacteroidota; Bacteroidia; Bacteroidales; Dysgonomonadaceae.
GUUCGUCAUUGACGUUACCCGCAGAAUAAGCAUCGGCUAACUCCGUGCCAGCAGCCGCGGUAAUACGGAGGAUGCGAGCGUUAUCCGGAUUUAUUGGGUUUAAAGGGUGCGUAGGCGGUCUAUUAAGUCAGCGGUGAAAGUUUGAGGCUCAACCUUAAAAUUGCCGUUGAAACUGGUUGACUUGAGUAUAUUUGAAGUAGGCGGAAUUCGUGGUGUAGCGGUGAAAUGCAUAGAUAUCACGAAGAACUCCAAUUGCGCAGGCAGCUUACUAAACUAUAACUGACGCUGAGGCACGAAAGCGUGGGUAUCAAACAGGAUUAGAUACCCUGGUAGUCCACGCCGUAAACGAUGAUUACUAGCUGUUUGUGAUAUACAAUAAGCGGCUAAGCGAAAGCGAUAAGUAAUCCACCUGGGGAGUACGCCGGCAACGGUG